Molecule: ribosomal RNA, 468 nt
Filed under: uncultured bacterium
Lineage: Bacteria
Description: partial 16S ribosomal RNA
Rfam family: Bacterial small subunit ribosomal RNA
Source: RNAcentral
GACGAACGCUGGCGGCGUGCUUAACACAUGCAAGUCGAACGGAAAGGCUCUGCUUUUGUGGGGUGCUCGAGUGGCGAACGGGUGAGUAACACGUGAGUAACCUGCCCUUGACUUUGGGAUAACUUCAGGAAACUGGGGCUAAUACCGGAUAGGAGCUCCUGCUGCAGUGUGGGGGGUGGAAAGUUUCGGCGGUUGGGGAUGGACUCGCGGCUGAUCAGCUUGUUGGUGGGGUAGUGGCUUACCAAGGCUGUGACGGGUAGCCGGCCUGAGAGGGUGACCGGCCACAUUGGGACUGAGAUACGGCCCAGAGUCCUACGGGAGGCAGCAGUGGGGAAUAUUGCACAAUGGGCGGAAGCCUGAUGCAGCAACGCCGCGUGCGGGAUGACGGCCUUCGGGUUGUAAACCGCUUUCGCCUGUGACGAAGCGUGAGUGACGGUAAUGGGUAAAGAAGCACCGGCUAACUACGUG